RNAcentral lists this long non-coding RNA (199 nucleotides) under Elaeis guineensis (African oil palm). RNAcentral describes it as "long non-coding RNA (EGUI_LNC039644)". The record is from RNAcentral. Lineage: Eukaryota; Viridiplantae; Streptophyta; Magnoliopsida; Arecales; Arecaceae.
GUCCUCCUCUAGGGGCAAGCUCUUAGCAAUUGACUUUGCAUAACAUAGUGCAUGAAUUUAGAGAAUUCAUUUGAACAUAUGAUGAAUAAAUAUGAUGACAAUAGACAUCCUUGCCAAAGUCCUCUAGAUGGUGAAAAUUAGCUAGCAGGAUGUCCAAUGAUUAGUAGAGCAAACAUGGCAUCACACGUAUAAACUUUGA